CUUGCUCUUUCUGAAGUGAAAUGACAGGCAGCAGUUUACAGCAAAGUCGCACCGUUCUCUCCAUAGGCGCCCAUGCAAACUGAAUCAUCUGGCUCAUGGAGGGAGAGUGUGUUUUUGAAUCACCGCCGCUCGGUCAUUUCUCACAAUAUCUGGAAAAUAAUUACAUUUCUGGUUAGCCACAGGCUUCCUCUCGCUCACGGUUAUGUCACUUUUCAGCUGAGAUUAACGGUUAUUCCGUAAUUACCGCCAUAACGCGACAUCGCGCCGUGCUGAGAACCAGGAAGUAAAACUAACACUUCAAAUGGGGCAAGAUACGCUUACCAGUAUCAGUCACUGAUAGGUGAGUGGAUCGAGCGCUCGGCUUUGGUGCGGUCCGCCUGAGUUCUAAUCCCGGUUGUGAUUUUUUUCCUGCCGAUUUUCCAUGUUUUCUCUAAGUGAUGUUUAAUGACGUUCUUUGUCAUACUUUCACUUACAGAAUUCAUUUUAGUCUUAAACAAAAACCCCAAGUCCUAAUACAAACCACUGUGUCCACUCAGUGCAAUAUACACUAUCACCGCGCACAAGCGGGACUCAGACGUUGUAGCGCACACACACUCAUUGGUGUGCUACACCCAGCUUCGCCUUCUCGCUGGCUCCGGAAAAGAAGGUGGCGGUAAUGCACCAAGAAGCUGGAGGCCAACCGCCGAAGAAUAAGAACAAGAAGAAGAAGAAGAAGAAGGAGGAGGAGGAGGAGGAGGAGGCGGCUGCUCGCUGGAAGGUAACCACAGUUGGAUUUCGUCAGAGAUUCAUCAAACCCUUUUCAGCCUUUGCACAGCCUCUGGAUCACCUUUGGUUUUUUUGGACAUCUUUCAAAGCCUUGCAUACUUCCAAUAUGCCACGCAGAGGAAAACGCUCCCAGGCCCAGAUCGACCGUAGGAGGAAGCCUAACGCGUCCGAGCUGCCCGACAAGCCCGUGGACGUGCCUCCCUGCUCCCACUCUGUCCUGAACAAGGUUCUGGUAUCAACGACCACGGAAAUCUGUGCUGAUGGUGCUCCAGUUCCACAGAUCGGACAAGCUGUUGAAACUUUGCCCUCCACUGCUCAGUAUGCUGCUCCAUCUGAGGUUCUGGUAUCAACGACCACAACACUCUGUGCUGAUGGUGCUCCAGUUCCAAAGAUCGGAAAAGCUACUGAAACUUUGCCCUCCACUGAUCAGCAUGCUGCUCCAUCUGAGGUUCUGGUAUCAACGACCACAACACUCUGUGCUGAUGGUGCUCCAGUUCCAAAGAUCGGAAAAGCUACUGAAACUUUGCCCUCCACUGAUCAGCAUGCUGCUCCAUCUGAGGAUACAACCAGGAGCCACGGUCAACGUGUCGAGUCGCUCCGGGCCAGUCAUUCUCAAAAUGACACAAGGUAUCGGGUAUUUUCGCGCAAUCGUCAGUGUACCUGUAAUGCACUGAUGUUUCUCGCGUACCAGUCAGAGGGCUGUCACUUCACCAGGACUACACUCAAUAGAGUCCUGGCAAAGGGAAAUACUUUAUACGUCAAAAACAAACGGCAAUUGAUUGACAACAACAAAUUUCAGAACAAUCAUCUGACUGUCGAGGAGAUGCCAAAACGAGUCAAGACAGACGAACAUUUCUACAAUGUCAGCAGAGAUGAUAUCCGUUGUGGCCCUAUCAAAAUCGUCCCAUCUAGCCCUGAAAGACAACAGGGGUUGGUUCCACUUGCUACCCAGCUGGAGUCUCUUACAGCAGAGGUAAGCCUGGCGUUAAUUGUCAUAGCGCCAGAUUGUAUCGCGGUUUUCCGUGACCAGUACGGUCGGUAUGGACUUUUUGAUUCCCACUCCCGAGACUCAACAGGCUUACCCUCUUCCAACGGCAAGGCCAUUAUGAUGACUUUUGCAGCACUCAGUGACCUGGCUGACCACCUCAACGCAUUGUAUGGAAAACGUCAUAACUCUGCCAGCUAUGAGUUUGUUCCUGUUUACUUCCACCGUGACACUGACAGUGAACUUUCUCAAGAGUCUACUGUGAACCAAGGCCGUAAUGAUGUGUCUGAAAAUAAUAUCCGUGUAUUUCAGUCAGACAGUCGGACCGCUGUCUCAGACAAAUCUGAAGAGUAUCUGCAAAGUUCCUUAGCUGUGCCACCAACGUCAAAAAAGCUCUCUAAACUGAGCAAAGCCAUGAGGCGAAAAGUCAUGAGGAGAGCCCGUCAGCAGCAGCAACAGACAUCGGCUAAGGACAAAGCAAGGUCUCAAGGGAACAGACAAAAAAAAAGAAGUCACGAAAGGGAGAGAUAUGCCAGCUGUGCCACGUUUCAGCAGAAAAAAGUUGCCACACAGAAGGCUCGAUAUGCAAACGACAGCCAUCGUGUGCAUAAGCUGUCAUCAGUUGGACGCUACUAUGCAAAAUGUAACGUGCAAAUCAGGAAACAAUUUGUCGACAGAUACAGGACAGAUCCUGCUUUUCAGAGCAGACGAAAAAACUACGUAGUGCAGAGAUACAGGACAGAUCCUGCUUUUCAGAGCAGACAGAAAAACUACCUAGCGCAGAGAUACAGGACGGAUCCUGCUUUUCAGAGCAGACAGAAAAACUACCUAGCGCAGAGAUACAGGACGGAUCCUGCUUUUCAGAGCAGACAGAAAAACUACCUAGCGCAGAGAUACAGGACGGAUCCUGCUUUUCAGAGCAGACAGAAAAACUACCUAGCGCAGAGAUACAGGACAGAUCCUGCUUUUCAGAGCAGGCAGAAAAAUUACGUAGUGCAGAGAUACAGGACAGAUCCUGCUUUUCAAAGCAAGCAGAAGAAGCACAAUGCCCAGAGGUACAAGACGGAUCCACAGUACAGGCUACAUCACAUCCAACGCUGCAGCCUGCUGAAAAAACGUAAGUUGGCCAGUUUUUCUUGUCAACAGCGUUACAAGUGGCAGAAUGCACGGCGCAUCAUGAGGAAGUAUCGACACCUUCGUACCCCUUGCCAGCCAGUCAAUACAUUGAUGACAGCAGCAAUAGCAGCAUUUCGUAACACCAUCAGUCAUGGACCUACAUACGUCUGCACAGUCUGCCACAGGACGAUGUUUCCAAAUCAAGUAAAGCUCUGUAAGAGAGACAAAUACUCCACCAGCGUUAAAGUGGCAGAAGCUUGCUUGACCGGAAGCUACGUUCAUGUUUGUGCUGCCGAGUGCUCCUCCCCUUGCUCUCUGCCACCAGAGAGACUGCAGGAGUGGAUCUGCCACAACUGCGACAGCCACCUCAGCAGAGGAAGAAUCCCGACACAUGCAGUAGCAAACAAUUUGCAAUUAGCACCCAUUCCCCCGGAACUGGACCAACUCAACGUGCUGGAAAGACAGCUCAUUGCCAAAGUAUUGCCGUUCGCAAAGAUUAUCGCUUUGCCAAAAGGACAGCAGCGAGCAGUGCACGGAGCUGUUGUAUGUGUUCCAUCAGAGGUGGAAAGCGUCGUCAACAGUCUUCCACGUCCCCGCACCGAAGCACAGCUACUGCAUGUGAAAUUGAAGCGCCACAUACGUUUCAAAGGCCACCAGCACUUUUACAUGGUCAACGUGAAGAAGAUGCUGACAGCCCUGGAAAAACUCAGAGAGCAACACUCUGAGUACACAGAUGUAACCAUAGACGAGGAGGCUGCGUUCCAAUACCUACUCCAGGAUUCGGACGACGACAACAGCAACGAUGAAGAUUCAUCACAGCGGGGAGAUGACAUCCCAGACGAGGAGCUGCUUCAAGCGUGUGACAGCUGCACUGAACCACUCCAGGCCAACUCGGCUGCAAACACGACCACAGAACGGCAGAAGGAGCUAAGACCUGGACUUGCACUGGACACCUGCAUGCAGCCACCAGACAUCGCCCAGGAAAUUCUUUCCUACGGUGAUGGCAUUUUCAGCGUUGCCCCUGCUCAAGGCAACAAACCUGUGGGAUUUUUUGCAAUCCCCAAACUGGAAGCCAUGGCCUUCCCCGUUCAGUUUCCCACGGGACAGAACACACUGGAUGAAGACCGUCCCAUCAAGCUUUCACCCAGCAGGUAUUUUAACGCCAGACUUUUUGGAGCGGACACUCGCUUUGCCGAGGACCAAAGCUACCUUUUUUUUGCGCAGUUUGUGUCGGAGACAAACAUUGCAAGGGGCAGUAUGUCUAUCCAAAUGCGCAAAGGAAGGAAACGCACGAGCGACGGGCGUGUCGUGAAAAACUCCAUGCUGCAAAACAAAGAAGAGCUGGAGCGCCUAAUUCAGGCCAGAGAGGCCCUGCGAUUCAUGCAGCCUCUGAGAGGCACGCCUGCAUAUUGGCACAAAAGCCUAAAGGAUUUGCACGCGAUGCUGAGGCAACUCGGCAAGCCCACCUUCUUUGUGACUUUUUCAGCGGCAGAGAUGAGAUGGCCUGAAGUCAUUCAGGUCAUCAAAGCACAGCAAGGUCAGACACUUGCUGACUUUUCAGAGCUCGACUGGAAAUCCAAGUGCGACAUCCUGCGCAGCAACCCCGUCACAGUCAUGCGAAUGUUUCACCAUCGGGUUAAUGCGCUUAUGGCAGACCUCAUUCUCUCACCAGCGCAACCAAUCGGCGAGGUGGAGGAUUAUUUUUACCGUGUGGAGUUUCAGGCUCGAGGAAGCCCACACAUCCACAUGCUAGUGUGGGUCAAAGACGCCCCUGUGUACGGCGAGGACUUGGAUCAAGUUGUCUGCAAGUACAUCGACCGUUACAUCUCCUGCAAGAUGCCUGACCCCAAGGAGGACCCAGAACUCCACAAAAUUGUGUCGGAAGUUCAGGUCCACAGCAAGAGCCACUCUUUUUCGUGCAAGAAGGGCAACGUAGUCUGUCGUUUUGGCUUCCCCAAGCUGCCAUUUGACAACACCUGGAUCACGAAUCCGUGCGAGUGCGAAGUGGAGAUGGAAGAGGAAGAGGAAGAGGAAGAGGAAGUGGUCCGACAGGCAUGGAGAGAACGGAUCCAAAGGCAGCAGCAGGACGCCAAGGAGAAGCUUCAGCACCUCAGACAACUCCUUAUGGAUCCAAAGGCUUCAUUCAAGGACUUGUCAGAUCUCCUCCAGCGUUGCAACUUGGAGCGUGACAUCUACAUGAACUGCGCCGAAAAACUGACCAGCGGGAGCGUGGUAAUGCUGAAGCGGCAUCCAAACGACUGUUGGGUCAAUGCGUACAACCCAGACCUUCUCCGCGCUUGGAACGCCAACAUGGACAUCCAGUACGUGCUGGACGAGUACAGUUGCGCCAUGUACAUGAUGUCGUACAUGACCAAGCCGGAGCACGAAAUGACCGAAUUCUUGAAGUCGGUCGUAAAGACGGCGAGGGAGUCCGACCUCAACCAGCAGCAGGAAAUGAGGAGGAUCAUGCAGGCCUACGCGAAGCACAGAGAGGUAAGCGCCCAGGAAGCGGUGGCUCGCACGUGCAGCCUCCCUUUGAAAAAGUGCUCCAGGUCUGUCAUCUUCCUGUCAACGGACGAAGACGGGAUGAAGAUGAGUCUUCCCAUGAGUCGGCUGAACGACAUGGCACCCGAGUCCGAGGAGGUGUGGAUGAUGGGGGUACCUGACAAGUACCUGUUCAGACCACAGACUCGUGAGUUCGAGGGAAUGUGUCUGGCCGAGUUUGCGUCGGACUACAGGGUAAUCUACGGACAGCACGCUCAACGCAACAGUGCGAUUGCCCUCCGCGACAACAAAGGCUACAUUGCCAAGAGGACAGCAGGAAGAGAAGCAGUCAUCCGAUUCGCGCGUUUCUCAGAGACCAAAACACCAGAGAAGCACUUCAGGCGACUUCUGAAGCUGUACCUGCCACACCGAUCGGACCACCAGCUCAACGACGGAGGUCGUACCACGUACGAAGACUUCUACAAAUUUCGUCCUGAUGUGAAGCGCAUCGUGGACAAUAACAAGAAGCGGUACGAGGAAAAAGGCGCAGGCAUGGACAAGGCACUCCAACGCGUCGAGGAAGGUCCAGUCCUCAACGCUUGGAACUCCUUUGCACCCGAAGUUGAGGUUGACCGACAGGAGUGUCUUAACCUGCGACAAACUGUCACGGAGGACAACGAAGAGGACGCCGUCCCGGACUUUGACGUUAGCUUACCAGCUCCCAGGAUCGAGGUGCCUCGGUUGAGUCCGGACUUUGUCCGGAAGAUGUUUCAGAGUCUGAACGAGACCCAGGCAUGCAUCUUCUAUGCUGUGCGGCAAUGGUGCCUUCAGCGUGUGUGGGGCCACAAUCCAGAACCGUUUCACUACUUUGUUUCAGGUGGAGCUGGAUGUGGUAAGUCCCACGUCAUAAAGUGCAUUCACGAGGAAGCAACGAGGAUUCUGCGGGAGCUCCCCAGAUUCCGAGACAUGGCUGACAUGUCCCAGCCAGCUGUGCUUCUGACGGCCUUCACAGGCACAGCAGCCUUCAACAUCGCGGGCAAAACGUUGCACUCUGUCCUCAAGCUUCCUAGGUCCUUGGAGCCGCCAUACCAGGGCCUUGGCAAUGCACUUGACGAACUUCGAGCGUCAUUGUCUUCCGUUGAGAUUCUCAUCAUCGACGAAAUUUCCAUGGUUUCCAAGAAGCUGUUUGCCUACGUCAACUGGCGUUUCCAGCAGCUGAAGGGAAACCGCAGACCUUUCGGCGGCGUUUCCAUUCUUGCAGUCGGCGACUUUUACCAGCUACCACCGCUGGGCAGGGCCAAGCCGCUCUGCGUCUAUGAAGAUACGGAGUUCGAUCUCUGGAGAGAUCACUUUUCCAUUGUCAACCUUACGGAAAUCAUGCGGCAGAAAGAUGACCGCGCUUUUGCCGAACUCCUCAACCGACUGCGAGUCAAGCGCAAGGAGGAUCCUUUGAGUCUCGCGGACCGCGAAUUACUCUUACGGGCCGUCUCGGACGGUAAGGACCUUCGAGGAGAAACGCUCCAUGUCUUUGCCACGAACAAGCAGGUGGACAGUCACAACGCAGACGCUGUGAGUUCCCUGCUUGAACAACAGAUCACCAUCGUGGCACAAGAUUUUCGAAAGGACGUUACAACAGGAAGGAAGGUCCCCGUGCAAAAUGUCACCGGCACAAAAACAGAUUUGCCUGACAGCAUAGUGGCUGGUGAAGGAGCACGCAUCAUGUUGAUCAGGAAUGUCAACGUAGAAGAUGGACUCGUCAACGGGACAUUCGGGACCAUCUUCACCAUGGUGACCGACAACCAUGAUCCCAAAGCCGUGAGACUUCUUGGUCUCCGGCUGGACAACCCCACAGCAGGACAGACUCUGCGAAAGAAGCUGCUGGGCCCCACGGACGACUUGGUCUACAUCGAGAGAUCCGAGGAGAGCUUCGGUCGCAAAGGCGGAGUAGUUAGACGCCAGUUCCCCAUCAAGCUGGCUUUUGCGUGUACGGCCCACAAAGUGCAAGGCAUGACGGUGACGUCGGCUGUGGUGAGCCUGAAACGCGUGUUUCAGCCAGGCAUGGCAUACGUUGCACUCAGCCGCACCACAUCUCUUCAAGGUCUUACCAUCACAGACUUUGAUGAAAAGAAGAUCUACGCGGACCCCACCAUCACCACAGCUUUGCGGGACAUGCGCAGCGCCAGUUUCCAGGGCGUUACUCCACUGCUGAACUUUGGGAAGCUGACUGACCGACCCCGCAACACCGUGACAGUCAUCCACCACAAUACACAAGGGCUUCCAUCUCACAUUGUGGACCUGAGGGCGCAUCCCGAACUUAGGUUGGCAGAUGUGCUGUGUCUUACCGAGACGCAUCUGUCAGGGCCCCCUGUAUCUCCAUCCUUUCAUCUGGAAGGAUACACCAUGUCUGAACGUAGCAGACCGGAAUCUUACGAUUCAGGUUCAGACAUGGCAGCAAAGGCAGGUGGUGGAGUGGCUAUAUAUUACAAAAACACGUUGACUGCAGAGGCUCCUAGAUGGACGCAUGUCAUGGGUUUGGAGUGUUUGGCCGUCAAAGUUGAGGCGCCAGUCAAAAUGCUUGUAGCGACUGUCUAUAAACCCCCAAAUUAUGCUUUGCUAAGGUUUUUGCAAAGCCUCAACACCCUCUUGGACACAUUGGAGCUCAUGAAUCACCAACCCAUUGUUGUUUGUGGUGACUUCAAUGAAGACCUCCUUUCCAGAGGUCACAAAAGCAUCAGAGAUGCAUUUCUGUCCAGAGGCUACACGCAAUUGGUUAAUGAGUCUACCACAGACAAGAACACUCUGAUUGAUCACAUCUAUAUUUCUCAGCCAGAGAAAUGUGUUCAGUCAGGUGUUCUCCAAAGUUACUAUAGUUAUCACAGUCCCAUCUACUGUAUUUUGACUGACUGAAGCGUCACAAACCACCCAACACGCGGCCUGUAUAUAGUUCAAAGGGGUAAGUAUGAUUUUCCCUGGCCCCUUUGCAGUUGACCGGAACCCCGAGUUAGGCAGCAUCCGGAGACAUAGACCUUGGUGCUCUAAUCCUCAGCAACUGAAGAAUAUUACCUCUCUGUUGGGUAAGUAACCUCAGUUAAUGUGAGAAUUUAAGAGGCUCACACCAAGGGCACACUGGAGAGACUGUCUCUCUCAGCUCGACUGGAAACACCAUGAGAUCCCCCAGGAAGAGCUAGAUGACGUUGCCAGGUAGAACAACAUGUCUCGGGUAAGAACACAUCAUACAAUUUUCUGCUUGUUUCCCAUGUAAUGUGCUCAGUUAGUUUUAUCUCAGACUACAGAACGAAGACUCCAGUCCACAAAGCGUUUGGAGAGCCCAAAUCCAUAGAGAACCCACCUGGACAGUCCCUACGUAAUCCCUGACAUCGAUGAUUACAACGUAGUCCACUCACAAGAACCACCACCCCACCCACAACCCCCUUUCCCAGACAUCCACUCCUCUGGAACAUCUCCAGAACCUGCCUACAAACAUGUCUCAGAAUUCAGACUCCACUUUCUGUCAUCAAGUGACCAGUGAUGCUGCAAUGUCGGCCGAUGGCCUGUAUAGGUCCGGUAACGGUUGUGGCUCCGUAUCUGCUUCACAGCCAUGAGGACAGAUGUUUCAGAAAAAGAACACUCACUACUCCCAAGCAAAAUUCACUCUUCAGUUGAAACCUUCACAGAUUUCUUGGUUUUUUUUUCCCACUACACAAUGUUGUUCUGGGGUUUUUUCCCAUGCUUGCGGGUUAUAGUGACUACAUGUUUUAACAAAAAUGUGAUCAAAAUAAGAUUUAUGUACAUAUGUUGAAAGUUGUUAAAAUUAAAAUGUAUGUGUAUCUGGAAA
Acanthochromis polyacanthus (spiny chromis) is the source of this 9185-nucleotide RNA transcript. RefSeq lists it as uncharacterized. The record is from RefSeq and is a predicted model, not a curated record. NCBI's taxonomy places the organism in Eukaryota, Metazoa, Chordata, Actinopteri, Pomacentridae. The transcript is spliced from 12 exons.